UAGAUCUUAAGUGCAUUUCUGAAAAUGGUGAUUUGCCUUUUUAUGUGAGAGCUCAACAGGGUAAACUGGCAACAAACAAGGAUUUAAAAAUACAACCAUGGACUCCUACAAGUAUCAACGAAUGAAAAUCACUUACAUGCCACUUCCAGAGAUGCAUUUCGACUUACUGCUUCACCGAGAUAGUUCCUCGCAACACAGACGUAGCUUCCUUCAUCGGGUUUGCUUCUGCGCCCAUGAACAAUGCGCAAGAAAAAUAAGGAUCCGCUGGGCAGAAGCAUCCUGUGAGACCGGGGAUCAUCCUUGUCAGUCUCCACCCGCUCGCCAUCCUUGUACCACUCAAUGGUGGGCGUUGGCCGGCCCUCUGCCUUACAGUUCAAGGUGGUGGGCUCUCCCUUAGAGACAAUGACAUCUGAAGGGUGCUCCACAAUCCGCGGAGGGAAGUCUUCUUGGCGAAGACGAGAUCCUUAAAAUCUGUAAUAAUAACUGGCAGGAGUAGGAUUAUUCUGAUUCGAUUCUUCAGAAGCACUGGCCUCGAGUAACAUCUGUCAGAAACAUGAUGUUGUUGGUUGAGCACUUCUGGUUGUUUGCAAUCUUUGGGUAACUCUUCUUCUCCACUUUAUGUCCAACCUUGGUAUCACAGUGACUCUCAUCAAGCUCAAGAAUAUCUGCCUUUGUAGAAUGGCCAAAUAAUAGCUUCUAGGCCUCUACACUCCCUGAAGAAGAGAUACCCACCUUCAUUCCAGCCUCUGUUCCAUUUCCUGCCUGCUGGAGCUACAUUUUCAAUGAACUCCGCUUCAUGUGCCCAGCUGUGCUGCUCUCCACAGGUGGCCCGGCAGCUGUUUCAGUGCAGCGGUCUCUCAGUCUGGAGACAUCGGUCAGCACACGUUGUCUACCAUGGCCUGGAUUAUCUGCUGCAGGUCAUCUCCUGAUUGUGCACAUCCCUCCUCGUGACCACGUUCAGUGAAGAGAUUUCAGGUUGGUAAUUCAUUCAUAUUUCCAAGUUUCAUUGCUUUGUGCCCUAAUCAUCUUCUUCUAGAGUACUUUUAUGAAAAGACGAGAAUAACAAUGCAUGCUUCUUCUGAUAAUAAUGGUACUUUGCUUCCAUGAAAAAAAUUUCCCCUUUCCAAGGUUUUCCUUUCCAGGGGGUCCGAGUCAGCUUGCUCAGAGUUGGUCCAGAGAAAAAGAGCAUCAAAACGAGAAAAAGUUCAAGUCUAGUAAUUCUCCUCACUUUCUCUAAUGAUAACAUUUCCACAAGUUAAUUUCACAAAAUUUCUCACAUCCUCUUCCCUCCCGGUUAUUAAAAUAGCCUUAAUCAUUGAAAAACCCGAGGUAGGUGUUGUUUUGCCAUCUUUAACAGCUGAAGUAGCAGCUCCCUGAUGUAGCCCUGAGCCAAGCUACAUUUCUCACGGAUCCG
Molecule: non-coding RNA, 1414 nt
Filed under: Canis lupus familiaris (dog)
Lineage: Eukaryota; Metazoa; Chordata; Mammalia; Carnivora; Canidae
Source: RNAcentral